This 74-nucleotide transfer RNA is filed under the name Holosporaceae bacterium. RNAcentral describes it as "tRNA-His". It matches the Rfam family "tRNA". From Rfam's summary of the family: Transfer RNA (tRNA) molecules are approximately 80 nucleotides in length. Their secondary structure includes four short double-helical elements and three loops (D, anti-codon, and T loops). The record is from RNAcentral. Lineage: Bacteria; Pseudomonadati; Pseudomonadota; Alphaproteobacteria; Holosporales; Holosporaceae.
GCGGGUGUAGCUCAGUUGGCUAGAGCGCCAGAUUGUGGCUCUGGAGGUUGUCGGUUCAAUCCCGAUCACUCGCC